UUUGGUUAAGUUAGAAAGGGCGCACGGUGGAUGCCUUGACACUAGGAGUCGAUGAAGGACGGGACUAACGCCGAUAUGCUUCGGGGAGCUGUAAGUAAGCUUUGAUCCGAAGAUUUCCGAAUGGGGAAACCCACCAUACGUAAUGGUAUGGUAUCCUUAUCUGAAUACAUAGGGUAAGGAAGACAGACCCAGGGAACUGAAACAUCUAAGUACCUGGAGGAAGAGAAAGCAAAUGCGAUUUCCUGAGUAGCGGCGAGCGAAACGGAACAUAGCCCAAACCAAGAGGCUUGCCUCUUGGGGUUGUAGGACAUUCUAUACGGAGUUACAAAGGAACGAGGUAGACGAAGCGACCUGGAAAGGUCCGUCGUAGAGGGUAACAACCCCGUAGUCGAAACUUCGUUCUCUCUUGAAUGUAUCCUGAGUACGGCGGAACACGUGAAAUUCCGUCGGAAUCUGGGAGGACCAUCUCCCAAGGCUAAAUACUCCCUAGUGAUCGAUAGUGAACCAGUACCGUGAGGGAAAGGUGAAAAGCACCCCGGAAGGGGAGUGAAAGAGAUCCUGAAACCGUGUGCCUACAAAUAGUCAGAGCCCGUUAACGGGUGAUGGCGUGCCUUUGUAGAAUGAACCGGCGAGUUACGAUCCCGUGCGAGGUUAAGCUGAAGAGGCGGAGCCGCAGCGAAAGCGAGUCUGAAUAGGGCGUUUAGUACGUGGUCGUAGACCCGAAACCAGGUGAUCUACCCAUGUCCAGGGUGAAGUUCAGGUAACACUGAAUGGAGGCCCGAACCCACGCACGUUGAAAAGUGCGGGGAUGAGGUGUGGGUAGCGGAGAAAUUCCAAUCGAACCUGGAGAUAGCUGGUUCUCCCCGAAAUAGCUUUAGGGCUAGCCUUAAGUGUAAGAGUCUUGGAGGUAGAGCACUGAUUGGACUAGGGGUCCUCAUCGGAUUACCGAAUUCAGUCAAACUCCGAAUGCCAAUGACUUAUCCUUAGGAGUCAGACUGCGAGUGAUAAGAUCCGUAGUCAAAAGGGAAACAGCCCAGACCGCCAGCUAAGGUCCCAAAGUGUGUAUUAAGUGGAAAAGGAUGUGGAGUUGCUUAGACAACUAGGAUGUUGGCUUAGAAGCAGCCACCAUUUAAAGAGUGCGUAAUAGCUCACUAGUCGAGUGACUCUGCGCCGAAAAUGUACCGGGGCUAAAUACACCACCGAAGCUGCGGAUUGAUACCAAUGGUAUCAGUGGUAGGGGAGCGUUCUAAGGACAGUGAAGUCAGACCGGAAGGACUGGUGGAGUGCUUAGAAGUGAGAAUGCCGGUAUGAGUAGCGAAAGACGGGUGAGAAUCCCGUCCACCGAAUGCCUAAGGUUUCCUGAGGAAGGCUCGUCCGCUCAGGGUUAGUCAGGACCUAAGCCGAGGCCGACAGGCGUAGGCGAUGGACAACAGGUUGAUAUUCCUGUACCACCUCUUUAUCGUUUGAGCAAUGGAGGGACGCAGAAGGAUAGAAGAAGCGUGCGAUUGGUUGUGCACGUCCAAGCAGUUAGGCUGAUAAGUAGGCAAAUCCGCUUAUCGUAAAGGCUGAGCUGUGAUGGGGAAGCUCCUUAUGGAGCGAAGUCUUUGAUUCCCCGCUGCCAAGAAAAGCUUCUAGCGAGAUAAAAGGUGCCUGUACCGCAAACCGACACAGGUAGGCGAGGAGAGAAUCCUAAGGUGUGCGAGAGAACUCUGGUUAAGGAACUCGGCAAAAUGACCCCGUAACUUCGGGAGAAGGGGUGCUUUCUUAACGGAAAGCCGCAGUGAAUAGGCCCAAGCGACUGUUUAGCAAAAACACAGCUCUCUGCGAAGCCGUAAGGCGAAGUAUAGGGGGUGACACCUGCCCGGUGCUGGAAGGUUAAGGAGAGGGGUUAGCGUAAGCGAAGCUCUGAACUGAAGCCCCAGUAAACGGCGGCCGUAACUAUAACGGUCCUAAGGUAGCGAAAUUCCUUGUCGGGUAAGUUCCGACCCGCACGAAAGGUGUAACGAUUUGGGCACUGUCUCAACCAGAGACUCGGUGAAAUUAUAGUACCUGUGAAGAUGCAGGUUACCCGCGACAGGACGGAAAGACCCCGUGGAGCUUUACUGUAGCCUGAUAUUGAAUUUUGGUACAGUUUGUACAGGAUAGGCGGGAGCCAUUGAAACCGGAGCGCUAGCUUCGGUGGAGGCGCUGGUGGGAUACCGCCCUGACUGUAUUGAAAUUCUAACCUACGGGUCUUAUCGACCCGGGAGACAGUGUCAGGUGGGCAGUUUGACUGGGGCGGUCGCCUCCUAAAGUGUAACGGAGGCGCCCAAAGGUUCCCCUCAGAAUGGUUGGAAAUCAUUCGUAGAGUGCAAAGGCAUAAGGGAGCUUGACUGCGAGACCUACAAGUCGAGCAGGGACGAAAGUCGGGCUUAGUGAUCCGGUGGUUCCGCAUGGAAGGGCCAUCGCUCAACGGAUAAAAGCUACCCCGGGGAUAACAGGCUUAUCUCCCCAAGAGUCCACAUCGACGGGGAGGUUUGGCACCUCGAUGUCGGCUCAUCGCAUCCUGGGGCUGUAGUCGGUCCCAAGGGUUGGGCUGUUCGCCCAUUAAAGCGGUACGCGAGCUGGGUUCAGAACGUCGUGAGACAGUUCGGUCCCUAUCCGUCGUGGGCGUAGGAAAUUUGAGAGGAGCUGUCCUUAGUACGAGAGGACCGGGAUGGACGCACCGCUGGUGUACCAGUUGUUCUGCCAAGGGCAUAGCUGGGUAGCUAUGUGCGGAAGGGAUAAGUGCUGAAAGCAUCUAAGCAUGAAGCCCCCUCAAGAUGAGAUUUCCCAUAGCGUAAGCUAGUAAGAUCCCUGAAAGAUGAUCAGGUUGAUAGGUUCGAGGUGGAAGCAUGGUGACAUGUGGAGCUGACGAAUACUAAUAGAUCGAGGACUUAACCAUAUAA
Molecule: ribosomal RNA, 2927 nt
Filed under: Bacillus thuringiensis
Lineage: Bacteria; Bacillati; Bacillota; Bacilli; Caryophanales; Bacillaceae
Description: 23S ribosomal RNA
Rfam family: Bacterial large subunit ribosomal RNA
Source: RNAcentral